Nerophis ophidion (straightnose pipefish) is the source of this 4284-nucleotide long non-coding RNA. RefSeq lists it as uncharacterized. The transcript has 9 exons. NCBI's taxonomy places the organism in Eukaryota, Metazoa, Chordata, Actinopteri, Syngnathiformes, Syngnathidae. The record is from RefSeq and is a predicted model, not a curated record.
CGGUAAACCAGGUCCGCUUUGACCCCGUGGUAGGUGCUGGUCAACACAAAAGGAACAAGUUGAUGGCAACAUCAUUCAUCGAAAGAGACAGAAGAUGAACAUGUACCUGACGUGCUUCAUGUAGCAUCUCUCGUACAAGAAGGUCCGCUGGCAGUUGUUGCACAAAAACUGGGCCUUCCUCUUGGAACGUACAUUGGCUUCCUCCUCGUCCUCCUCCCCCGUGGAUAACAAGGGUUCCUCGCCAUCAUCCAGACUCAGUGAAACAUCGUCAUCUGGUCCGAUGUCAACAGUGUCUACAGGGGGCGAGGGAGGCCACGACUCUUCAGAUUCUGUCUGAGCUCCUGCUUCCUCCAAGUCCUCCUUGUUUUCUGACACUUCAUCAACUUCCUUCACAGCGUCUGGCUUUAUUUCUACAGAUCUCUGGAGGACCUCAUGGCCGCCCAACCUAAGUUUCAGUUUCUUGACUUCUAGUGUUUGCUCCUCACCGUCUGUUUCCGAGGGAUUUGAUGUUGCGGAAAGCUGCUCAGAGGUCUUUGGAGCGAGCUUGCCUUUCUUCUUUCUGCUUGCUUUUGCAGCCGCGGAUUCUUCCCGGUCCAAGUUGGAUGCAUAACCGGUCGGCUCUUGUAGGAGCCCAGCGCUGAUAGCGGCGCUGCAGAUCUUCAAGAGCUCCUCGCAAUCCAAAAGCCUCGCCGUUUCUUCUAUGUCCACGAUUUUGCUCUGUGUGAUUACCACUUUGCCAGUGUAGACAAACUCCAAAAACGUGGAAAAGUCGCCGGGCUGCAUGAUGGAAAGCGGGAUGUUGUCCCGUGCACCACCAUCCUGAGAGAGGAAUAUGUUUUUAAAGUACCCGCUGGAGGCGGCGAGGAUCACCUGGUGCGCCUGGAAAGCCUGCACGUCUCCUUGGUAGUCCACCUGCACGGUGACGUCACUGAGGAGACCUUGCAGUCUCAGGUUGUGUAGAGAGUCCAGCAUGUGCUCGUGGUGGGACGUAGAGUAGACUUGCCUGGGGUCACCAAAUGUUUGUUGAAACAGUUCGAAGGCAGAACAGGAAGUGGAAGAGGUCACAUAAUCCACCAGCUGACUUACAACAGUAGAGCUCCAUCUGCAGGAUCUGGCGGGGCCUCAACGGUAGUUGACACUACAGUGUUAAAAAUGUGUGUGGAUUUUACAGUAAAAAUGCAGACACACAUCCCACCACUGCAGAGUCAUCUGAGAACUUCUGCAGAUGGCAGCGGUUGGAGUCAAUUCCUGAAGUCUUAGGUGUAUGGUGUGAACAGGAAAGUUUCACCCACAGGAGUGACGGCUGGACGGUGUUAAAAGCACUGGAGAAGUCAAAGAACAAGACUCUUAUCACACUUCCUGCAGUCUCUAGGUUGGUGAGGGCCCGAUGCAGCAGUCAGACCACAGCACUUUCCUACCUUCUGACACUAAUGUUGGCUGCAGGAAGAGACCCGCCUGAAAACAGGAACUCCUUUUUGGUGAAAUUAGGACAUCCCGUGGGGAACAUUGCUGCCUUCUUCAUUGGUCGAUAGCAACUCCCACCUGGAGAAAUGGACUGCACUUCGUCAGGCCUCUUUCUUCAGACCUGUACAACAUGGGUGUCUUACCUGAAGACUAAGUUCCUGCUGGUAUAGCUCUUCAAGUCUUCAUGUCACUUAGGUGUUACGGUGGGGUUGCUGCUUGCUGCAAGGUUUGUUCCUCCCAGAUGCAAACAGAACACUCUGGACAAGACUUGCAGCUUCUCCGGCACAUUUCUAUCAUUUGGCAUUGAGUGAUCUCAUCCUUCCUUGCACCUCCCGCUCUUCUCUUCUGGCGUGUGAUCACGUUUCAAAGAGGAAGCGACCCUGCAGGCUUUUUCGGAUGUGGCAACUCUGAUUCUGUGACGGCCGCCGUUUCACAGAGACAGAGCGAGAAGGCCUCAUGCCGCAUUCUAACAAUCUUUGAUGAUGACAUCCCCGAGCCCCCAGGCCUCGAUGACCUUCGCGACGCAACAUGGCAGCUUGUUAGGAAGUAGGUUAAGUCGCGGCGCUCCCGGGGGCUGAGGGAGAUGCGGAGAAGCUCAGCCAUCUUCUGCCGCUUGACCUCUGCAAGUCUUCGAGGACGAGUCAGUCGUGAGUCCUCGCCGCCGCUCUCCCACGAGCAUGCUGGGGAAAGCUGAUGAGGCCCCAGCGGGUUUUCUCCAGUGAGUCACACCUCCUCUCAGACGGGAGAAGGGAUUCUCCCGGGAUUCUAACGGCAUAUUGCAUGACGUGUGUCGUUUGUCUUUCACCGGAAAAAAAUACAUUACCAUAUUUCCUUGAAUAGCCGCCGGGCAUAUAGUAUGCGCCUGCCUUGAAUUAAUGCCCGGUCAAACUCGCUUCCCAAAAUAAUUAGCGCAUGCUUAGUAUUACCGCCUGGUCAAACUCGUGACGUCAUGGGUGACACUUCCCCUGUCAUCAUUUUCAAAAUGGAGGAGGCUGAUUUCAAUACCGGUAAUUUGAAAUCGCAUAAAGGGAAGAAGAUUAAGAGCUAUUCAUUAUGAUUUAAGGUCCAAACUUACAUCACACUCAAAUUUUUACUGCAUACCUUUGGUAAGUGCCUGAGUGAGAAGAGGUUUUAAAAUAAUUUGCGCAUGCUUACUUUUACAGCAUGCCUUUGGUAAGCGCAUCAGUGAGAAGAGGUUUUAAAUUAAUUAGCCCCCCGGUGGCAAUUCAAGGAAAUACGGUAGUCCAAAUUUUCCCCGAACGAAGUUGACUCUGCAACUUUCCACCUUUUGAAAGUAUAAUCAGGGAUAAAACAUUGCACUGUUUUAGGGCAUUUGUAGAGCCCCCUAUGGGUAGUGUUUAAAAUAUAUUUUUAAGCCACACUGGCCUACAUGUAAUACAUAUUAAGUUGAAGUACCAAUGAUUGUCACACACACUAGAAGUAGUGAGAUUAUUAUGUGCAUUAAACCCAUCACCCUCACCCACUGGGAGGUGAGGGAAGCAGUGAGCAACAGCGGUGGCCACGCUCGGGAAUCAUUUUGGUCAUUUAACCCCCAAUUCCAACCCUUGAUGCUAAGUGUCAAGCAGGAAGGUAAUUGGUCCCAUUUUUAUAGUCUUUGGUAUGACUCGGCCGGGUUUUGGACUCACGACCUACCGAUCUCAGUGCGGACACUCUAACAAGCUUUAUCACCAUUACACACAUGCUAAACGACUUAUGGACAAUUGGUUGCUAAGUAAGUAAGACAGUUUGCUUGAUGGCGGCCAUGUUUUUCAACCUAGCUUUUUCAUACAGCGCUUCACUUUAUGCACAUGUUUUUAUGUGACAGCCUUAUUCCGAAAUGAAAUAGAUUCAUUUUUGUCCUCAAAAACCUACACACAGUACUCCAUAAUGACAUUGUGAACAUGUUGUCUUUUUUUAUUUCAGCAUUUUUUUCAAAACUAUAAAACUAAAAAAAAACACAUUUGCAUAAGUACUCACAGCAUUUGCCCAAUAAAUAGUUUUUUGAUGCCCCUUUGGCAGAAAUUACAGCCUCAAGUUGUUUUGAAUACAAUGCCACAAGCUUGGCACAACUACCUUUGGGCAGUUUCGCCCAUUCCGCUUUGCAGCGCCUCUCAAGCUCUAUCAGGUUGCAUAGGAAGCGUUGGUUUUCAUCCAAGAUGUCUCUGUACACUGCUGCAUUUAUCUUUCCUUCUAUCCUGACGUGUCUCACAGUUCCUGCCACUAAAAACAGCCCCACAGCAUGAUGCUGCCACCACCGUUCUCCAGUAGGGAUGGCAUUGGCCUAGUGAUGAGCGGUCAGGGGCGCCGCUAGGGAUUUUGGGCCCCAUGAAAAGAAUCUUUACAUGACCACUCUGUAUUAUAAUUUCAUCAUCAUUAGGGGCCUCUCCGGGCCCACCUCCAUCAUGGGCCUCUAGAAUCCGUCUCCUUUACCCCCCCCUUUUUGGCGCCCCUGUGAGCGGUGCCUGGUUUCCUCCAACUAUUUUGUUAUUUCACGCAUGUUCACAUCAGCAUCACACAUUUUCAAAUUGCUCAUUUCUUGUUACUCAACGCUGUCUGGCUAGCAUGCUAGCAUUUCAGUUCGACGUUUCAGCAUUCACAUGAAAUUUCCACCGAAAUUGCUUUUUCUGGUUCCCAAUAAAAUGUGUUUUGUGUUGAUGCUUUGGGUGACUGGAACAGAAUAUUUUUAUUUGCAUUAUUUCCGGUGGGAAAAUUUGCUUCGGUUUUUGCUUGAUUUGGCCCUAGUCUGACUUUUCGGAAGGGAUUACAACUGAGGUACCGCGCUGCAUUGUUCCAUGAAUGCCUCUCCAUCGGAAAGGAAAA